Arabidopsis lyrata subsp. lyrata is the source of this 127-nucleotide microRNA precursor. It matches the Rfam family "MIR3440 microRNA precursor family". The record is from Rfam. Lineage: Eukaryota; Viridiplantae; Streptophyta; Magnoliopsida; Brassicales; Brassicaceae.
UGCGGCAUUUUCCACAAGUGUGGUUUCCCUGGCCAAUCCACUUGUAAUGUGUAUUUUGUAAAUAACGCAAAAUGUGCAUUAGAAGUGGAUUGGUCAAGAGAACCGCACUUGUGCAAAAUACCGCAGU